UGGGCCGAUCGCCUUGAGUUGAUAUGGCUCGGACGAACGCUGGCGGCGCGCCUAACACAUGCAAGUCGAGCGAGAACCGGUCCUUCGGGGCCGGGGACAGCGGCGAACGGGUGAGUAACACGUGGGUAAUCUGCCCUCGGCACCGGGAUAGCCCGGGGAAACCCGGAUUAAUACCGGAUGGCCUUUCGGGUCUUCGGACUCGAAUGAAAAGGUAGCUUCGGCCUCCGGCCGAGGAUGAGCCCGCGGCCGAUUAGCUUGUUGGUGAGGUAACGGCUCACCAAGGCUCCGAUCGGUAGCUGGUCUGAGAGGACGAUCAGCCACACUGGGACUGAGACACGGCCCAGACUCCUACGGGAGGCAGCAGUGGGGAAUCUUGCGCAAUGGGCGAAAGCCUGACGCAGCGACGCCGUGUGCGGGAAGAAGGCCUUCGGGUUGUAAACCGCUUUCAGGAGGGACGAAGCCACUCGGGUUAAUAGCCCAGAGGGUGACGGUACCUCCAGAAGAAGCCCCGGCUAACUACGUGCCAGCAGCCGCGGUAAUACGUAGGGGGCUAGCGUUGUCCGGAUUUAUUGGGCGUAAAGAGCGUGUAGGCGGCCAGGUAGGUCCGGUGUGAAAACUCGAGGCUCAACCUCGAGAUGUCAUCGGAAACCAUCUGGCUAGAGUCCGGAAGAGGAGAGUGGAAUUCCUGGUGUAGCGGUGAAAUGCGCAGAUAUCAGGAAGACACCUAUGGCGNAGCAGCUCUCUGGGANGUACUGACGCUGA
RNAcentral lists this ribosomal RNA (762 nucleotides) under uncultured bacterium. RNAcentral's name for it is "bacterial SSU rRNA". It matches the Rfam family "Bacterial small subunit ribosomal RNA", at positions 1 to 749 of the family's 1533-position model. The record is from RNAcentral.